AUGUAUGCUCGAAUGCACCGAUACGGAUACGGGUAUCAGUAUCGGGCCAAUACGGAUACGUAA
Molecule: ribosomal RNA, 63 nt
Filed under: Triticum aestivum (bread wheat)
Lineage: Eukaryota; Viridiplantae; Streptophyta; Magnoliopsida; Poales; Poaceae
Description: partial small subunit ribosomal RNA
Source: RNAcentral